UUUUAAUUGAAGGCUUGUAUGAAGGGUUGGACAAAGGAUAAGCUGUCUUUUUUCUUGUUUUUGAAUUUGUCUUUUAAGUGCAAAGACUUAAAUUAUUUUAAGGGACGAUAAGACCCUAUAAAUCUUUAUAUUAAUAUGUUUUUAUAUUAAUUUUUAAUGUUUAUAAAGAUAAAAAUAUAAAAUAUUGUGUUGGGGUGAUGAGAAUAAUUAAUAAACUGUUCUAAAUAAAAACAAAGUUAUUUGAAGAAAUAGUAGAUCCUUUUUUAAGAUUAAAAGUUUAAGUUACUUUAGGGAUAACAGCGUUAUUUUUUUUGAGAGUUCUAAUCGAAAAAAAAGUUUGCGACCUCGAUGUUGAAUUAAAAUUUCUUUAUGGUGUAGCCGUUAUAAGAGAGAGUCUGUUCGACUUUUAAAAUUUUACGUGAUCU
This 425-nucleotide ribosomal RNA is filed under the name Galathea acis. RNAcentral describes it as "partial 16S ribosomal RNA". The stretch from base 293 to 425 matches the Rfam family "Bacterial large subunit ribosomal RNA", at positions 2473 to 2606 of the family's 2925-position model. Lineage: Eukaryota; Metazoa; Arthropoda; Malacostraca; Decapoda; Galatheidae. RNAcentral also lists the same sequence under 3 other names. The record is from RNAcentral.